Molecule: non-coding RNA, 20 nt
Filed under: Rattus norvegicus (Norway rat)
Lineage: Eukaryota; Metazoa; Chordata; Mammalia; Rodentia; Muridae
Source: RNAcentral
AUAAAGAGUGUAGUCAGUGA